CGGCUCAGUAACACGUGGACAAUCUGCCCUAUCGUGGUGAAUAAUCUCGGGAAACUGAGGGUAAUACACCAUAGGCCUCCGGCACUGGAAUGUCUGGAGACCCAAAGCUCCGGCGCGAUAGGAUGAGUCUGCGGAUGAUUAGCUAGUAGGCGGUGUAAUGGACCACCUAGGCUAUAAUCAUUAAGGGUCUUGAGAGAGAUAGCCCUGAGACGGAAUCUGAGACACUAUUCCGAGCCUUACGGGGUGCAGCAGGCGCGAAAACUUUGCAAUACACGAAAGUGUGACAAGGGGAUUCCAAGUGUGCAUAUACCAUAUGCACUUUUUCGAAGUUUAAAACGCUUUGGGAAUAAGGGGUGGGCAAGACUAGUGCCAGCCGCCGCGGUAAAACUAGCAUCUCGAGUGGCAGCCACAAUUACUGGGCUUAAAGCGUCCGUAGCUCGUUCAGAAAGUCCCCGGUGAAAUCCUAUGGCUUAACCAUAGGGCUUGCCAGGGAAACUCCUGGACUUGAAGGCAGGAGAGGUCAGGGGUACGUCCGGGGUAGGGGUGAAAUCCUAUAAUCCUAGACGGACCAACAGUGGCGAAGGCGCCUGACAUGAAUGCGCUUGACAGUGAGGGACGAGAGCCAGGGUCGCGAAACGGAUUAGAUACCCGUGUAGUCCUGGCC
Molecule: ribosomal RNA, 664 nt
Filed under: uncultured archaeon
Lineage: Archaea
Description: bacterial SSU rRNA
Rfam family: Archaeal small subunit ribosomal RNA
Source: RNAcentral